RNAcentral lists this ribosomal RNA (545 nucleotides) under uncultured bacterium. Its description in RNAcentral is "bacterial SSU rRNA". It matches the Rfam family "Bacterial small subunit ribosomal RNA", at positions 55 to 594 of the family's 1533-position model. The record is from RNAcentral.
AUGCAGUCGAGCGGCAGCGCGGGGGCAACCCUGGCGGCGAGCGGCGAACGGGUGAGUAAUGCAUCGGAACGUGUCCCGUAAUGGGGGAUAACGCCCCGAAAGCGGCGCUAAUACCGCAUACGCUCUACGGAGGAAAGUGGGGGACCUGCAAGGGCCUCACGUUAGGGGAGCGGCCGAUGUCCGAUUAGCUAGUUGGUGGGGUAAUGGCUUACCAAGGCUUCGAUCGGUAGCUGGUCUGAGAGGAUGAUCAGCCACACUGGGACUGAGACACGGCCCAGACUCCUACGGGAGGCAGCAGUGGGGAAUUUUGGACAAUGGGGGCAACCCUGAUCCACCAAUGCCGCGUGUGUGAAGAAGGCCUUCGGGUUGUAAAGCACUUUUGUCCGGAAAGAAAACUUCCUGGUUAAUACCUGGGGAGGCUGACGGUACCGGAAGAAUAAGCACCGGCUAACUACGUGCCAGCAGCCGCGGUAAUACGUAGGGUGCGAGCGUUAAUCGGAAUUACUGGGCGUAUAGCGUGCGCAGGCGGUGAUGUAAGACCGAUG